RNAcentral lists this ribosomal RNA (375 nucleotides) under Chromatocurvus halotolerans. The record is from RNAcentral. Lineage: Bacteria; Pseudomonadati; Pseudomonadota; Gammaproteobacteria; Cellvibrionales; Halieaceae.
CCUGGCGACCAUAGAGCAUUGGAACCACCUGACUCCAUACCGAACUCAGUAGUGAAACGAUGCAUCGCCGAUGGUAGUGUGGGGUCUCCCCAUGUGAGAGUAGGUCAUCGCCAGGCUUCAAAAAGAAAAACCCCCGUUCACGCAGUGGACGGGGGUUUUGCUUUUUGGAUGUGAUGAAUUAUUGCCACUACACCGGGUCCAUGUGACAACCCCUGCACCGCAGGUGCGGGGUUGGGGCGCCGCAGGCGUCGCGUAGCGAUUGCGCGCAGCGCGCGCAACCCACUGUAGGUCAUACCCGAUACAGCGGGGCAGGCUCUCGCCAGGCUUGUAUACCCACGCCCCGAUCAGACAUGGUCGGGGCGUUUUACGUUGGGG